GAUGAACGCUGGCGGCGUGCCUAAUACAUGCAAGUCGAGCGAACAGACGAGGAGCUUGCUCCUCUGACGUUAGCGGCGGACGGGUGAGUAACACGUGGAUAACCUACCUAUAAGACUGGGAUAACUUCGGGAAACCGGAGCUAAUACCGGAUAAUAUAUUGAACCGCAUGGUUCAAUAGUGAAAGACGGUUUUGCUGUCACUUAUAGAUGGAUCUGCGCCGCAUUAGCUAGUUGGUAAGGUAACGGCUUACCAAGGCAACGAUGCGUAGACGACCUGAGAGGGUGAUAGGCCACACUGGAACUGAGACACGGUCCAGGCGACUACGGGAGGCAGCAGUAGGGAAUCUUCCGCAAUGGGCGGAAACCUGACGGAGCAACGCCGCGUGAGUGGUGAAGGUCUUCGGAGCGUAAAGCUCUGUUAUUAGGGAUGAACAAAUGUGUAAGUAGCUAUGCACGUCUUGACGGUACCUAAUCAGAAAGCCACGGCUAACUACGUG
This 497-nucleotide ribosomal RNA is filed under the name uncultured bacterium. Its description in RNAcentral is "partial 16S ribosomal RNA". It matches the Rfam family "Bacterial small subunit ribosomal RNA", at positions 28 to 507 of the family's 1533-position model. The record is from RNAcentral.